AAGGCCUUCGGGUUGUAAACCGCUUUUGUCAGGGAAGAAACGGGUUUCUCUAAUACAGAGACCUAAUGACGGUACCUGAAGAAUAAGCACCGGCUAACUACGUGCCAGCAGCCGCGGUAAUACGUAGGGUGCGAGCGUUAAUCGGAAUUACUGGGCGUAAAGCGUGCGCAGGCGGUUAUGCAAGACAGAGGUGAAAUCCCCGGGCUCAACCUGGGAACUGCCUUUGUGACUGCAUAGCUGGAGUACGGUAGAGGGGGAUGGAAUUCCGCGUGUAGCAGUGAAAUGCGUAGAUAUGCGGAGGAACACCGAUGGCGAAGGCAAUCCCCUGGACCUGUACUGACGCUCAUGCACGAAAGCGUGGGGAGCAAACAGGAUUAGAUACCCUGGUAGUCCACGCCCUAAACGAUGUCUACUGGUUGUUGGGAGGGUUUCUUCUCAGUAACGAAGCUCACGCGUGAAGUUGACCGCCUGGGGAGUACGGCCGCAAGGUUGAAACUCACAGGAAUUGACGGGGACCCGCACAAGCGGUGGAUGAUGUGGUUUAAUUCCAUGCAACGCGAAAAACCUUACCUACCCUUGACAUGUCAUAGAUC
Molecule: ribosomal RNA, 593 nt
Filed under: Comamonadaceae bacterium Se1Ps_2169
Lineage: Bacteria; Pseudomonadati; Pseudomonadota; Betaproteobacteria; Burkholderiales; Comamonadaceae
Description: bacterial SSU rRNA
Rfam family: Bacterial small subunit ribosomal RNA
Source: RNAcentral